RNAcentral lists this ribosomal RNA (783 nucleotides) under Enterococcus faecalis. Its description in RNAcentral is "partial 23S ribosomal RNA". It matches the Rfam family "Bacterial large subunit ribosomal RNA", at positions 412 to 1196 of the family's 2925-position model. Lineage: Bacteria; Bacillati; Bacillota; Bacilli; Lactobacillales; Enterococcaceae. The record is from RNAcentral.
GUACGGCGGAACACGAGAAAUUCCGUCGGAAUCCGCGGGGACCAUCCCGCAAGGCUAAAUACUCCCUAGUGACCGAUAGUGAACCAGUACCGUGAGGGAAAGGUGAAAAGCACCCCGGAAGGGGAGUGAAAUAGAUCCUGAAACCGUGUGCCUACAACAAGUCAAAGCUCGUUAAUGAGUGAUGGCGUGCCUUUUGUAGAAUGAACCGGCGAGUUACGAUUGCAUGCGAGGUUAAGUCGAAGAGACGGAGCCGCAGCGAAAGCGAGUCUGAAUAGGGCGAAUGAGUAUGUAGUCGUAGACCCGAAACCAUGUGAUCUACCCAUGUCCAGGUUGAAGGUGCGGUAAAACGCACUGGAGGACCGAACCCACGUACGUUGAAAAGUGCGGGGAUGAGGUGUGGGUAGCGGAGAAAUUCCAAACGAACUUGGAGAUAGCUGGUUCUCUCCGAAAUAGCUUUAGGGCUAGCCUCGGAAUUGAGAAUGAUGGAGGUAGAGCACUGUUUGGACUAGGGGCCCAUCUCGGGUUACCGAAUUCAGAUAAACUCCGAAUGCCAUUCAUUUAUAUCCGGGAGUCAGACUGCGAGUGAUAAGAUCCGUAGUCGAAAGGGAAACAGCCCAGACCACCAGCUAAGGUCCCAAAAUAUAUGUUAAGUGGAAAAGGAUGUGGGGUUGCACAGACAACUAGGAUGUUGGCUUAGAAGCAGCCACCAUUUAAAGAGUGCGUAAUAGCUCACUAGUCGAGUGACCCUGCGCCGAAAAUGUACCGGGGCUAAACAUAUUACCG